CAGUCGCCACGGUAACACGUAGGUGGCAAGCGUUGUCCGGAAUUAUUGGGCGUAAAGGGCUCGCAGGCGGUUUCUUAAGUCUGAUGUGAAAGCCCCCGGCUCAACCGGGGAGGGUCAUUGGAAACUGGGAAACUUGAGUGCAGGAGAGGAGAGUGGAAUUCCGCGUGUAGCGGUGAAAUGCGUAGAGAUGUGGAGGAACACCAGUGGCGAAGGCGACUCUCUGGUCUGUAACUGACGCUGAGGAGCGAAAGCUAGGGGAGCAAAUGGGAUUAGAGACCCCUGUAGUCCCUGUCUCUUAUAC
RNAcentral lists this ribosomal RNA (301 nucleotides) under uncultured bacterium. RNAcentral describes it as "partial 16S ribosomal RNA". It matches the Rfam family "Bacterial small subunit ribosomal RNA", at positions 509 to 807 of the family's 1533-position model. The record is from RNAcentral.